RNAcentral lists this ribosomal RNA (253 nucleotides) under uncultured bacterium. Its description in RNAcentral is "partial 16S ribosomal RNA". It matches the Rfam family "Bacterial small subunit ribosomal RNA", at positions 524 to 776 of the family's 1533-position model. The record is from RNAcentral.
CACGUAGGGCGCAAGCGUUGUCCGGAAUUAUUGGGCGUAAAGGGUGCGUAGGCGGCGCGGUAAGUCGGAUGUGAAAUCUCGGAGCUUAACUCCGAAACUGCAUUCGAUACUGCCGUGCUUGAGGACUGGAGAGGAGACUGGAAUUUACGGUGUAGCGGUGAAAUGCGUAGAUAUCGUAAGGAAGACCAGUGGCGAAGGCGGGUCUCUGGACAGUUCCUGACGCUGAGGCACGAAGGCCAGGGGAGCAAACGGG